Molecule: long non-coding RNA, 777 nt
Filed under: Fukomys damarensis (Damara mole-rat)
Lineage: Eukaryota; Metazoa; Chordata; Mammalia; Rodentia; Bathyergidae
Description: lncRNA (ENSFDAG00000031610.1)
Source: RNAcentral
CGUUGACUAUUUAUUGGUAUAUUUAUGCAUUCCAGUUUAUCAGAAUCCUGAUCCCCUCUGGGCAAGGAACACCUCCCAUUGGACUGGAAACUGCAGAAUCCACCUUCCCCCUCUGCCACAACUGCGUCAUUAAAACGGCUGAGGGAUGGGGACCAUGUGGAAUGGAAGAAGUUUAAUUAACUAUAUGAAAUGAAGAACGGUGUUCUUUUGCUAAUUUUCAAUUAACAUCUGCUGGACAUUGUCGAGACCGACGUGCCAGGGAUAUAAACCAGAUGGAGGCGCAAACGUGCGCCGAGAGGAAGAUGGGGGCACCGGAAGUUGGAACCGGAAGUUACAGCUGGGGUCUCUGAGCUUCCGGAAUGCGGAGGGCAGGCCUGAGUUCUUACAGUGAGGACGGUUUUACGCCUAAGAGAGUGAAAAGCCUUGUGGGAAGAGCACAUCCAACGUCACCGAGAACGGCAGCAGGUAGCAAGGGACAAGGGAUGAAAACUUGCAUUAAUCCUGACUGCACAGAAUGCCAUGCCUGACAUGGAGGCCUGGGACCAUUGUGGGGCCUCAGUGUGACCAGUCCAUACCCAUGGUAAGUGUGACUUUCUAUGUGUGACCACCAAGGGUAGCAGCAUGGAAUAAGGGACUACUAAGCAGGGACUAGGGUUUUACUAUGUAGUUCAGGAUGGUCCUGAACUGGCUAUGUAAGCCAAGCUGGCCUUCAAGUAGCAAUCUUCCUGCCUCAGGUAACCAAGUGCUGGGAUUACAGAUGUGUACUACCAUACCCUG